Molecule: ribosomal RNA, 497 nt
Filed under: uncultured bacterium
Lineage: Bacteria
Description: partial 16S ribosomal RNA
Rfam family: Bacterial small subunit ribosomal RNA
Source: RNAcentral
GAUGAACGCUGGCGGCGUGCCUAAUACAUGCAAGUCGAGCGAACAGAUAAGGAGCUUGCUCCUUUGACGUUAGCGGCGGACGGGUGAGUAACACGUGGGUAACCUACCUAUAAGACUGGGAUAACUUCGGGAAACCGGAGCUAAUACCGGAUAACAUUUGGAACCGCAUGGUUCUAAAGUGAAAGAUGGUUUUGCUAUCACUUAUAGAUGGACCCGCGCCGUAUUAGCUAGUCGGUAAGGUAACGGCUUACCAAGGCGACGAUACGUAGCCGACCUGAGAGGGUGAUCGGCCACACUGGAACUGAGACACGGUCCAGACUCCUACGGGAGGCAGCAGUAGGGAAUCUUCCGCAAUAGGCGAAAGCCUGACGGAGCAACGCCGCGUGAGUGAUGAAGGGUUUCGGCUCGUAAAACUCUGUUAUUAGGGAAGAACAAAUGUGUAAGUAACUGUGCACGUCUUGACGGUACCUAAUCAGAAAGCCACGGCUAACUACGUG